GAUCUCUUGAAAUUAUUCCUUCUAAUUGAAAUUUUAUGUUUAUUUGGCUAAGAUCACAUGUAGUGCCAUUUGGAUAAUGCAAGUAAUCACACCAUUGAAGCCCCAUUUCCUACUGUGUAGCAACCUUUUAAUAUAUUCCAUACUUUUCAAUUACUAUAACAGACUCAUUCUUCCAGUUCUAUUUAUUUUUAAGCUUGUUUGUCAUAUAUUUCAAAGCUUUUACCCUUUUACACAUGCAUGGUAGAACUGUACGGAGAUAAUGACAAAAAUGUUGGUGUGGUAUCCAUGUGGCUGUCUAUCAUUAUCACUUCCUCUUCAGGAACUGGAAAUAUGUGGAGGAGUGUAGCAAAUCUAGAUGCUAACUUCUCUAAGUUUGUAGUUCACUUUCAGUGUGGUUCAAAUUGCUUUGCUUUCUGUACAAUCCAAGUUCAUUUAUAUUUGCUUGCAAUGUGAAUAGGUGACAUUUCCAAACAUGCUACAAAAGAGUCAGUCCUAGUUACAUAUAUGUUGAACUUUGUCACAUUUUCUAGCAGACUGUAUUAGUCAGGGUUGUCUAGGGAAACACAGGACAUGUGUGUGUGUGUGUGUGUGUGUGUGUGUGUGUGUGUGAGAUAUGUGACUAUAGAGGCUGAGAAGUCCCAUGACCUACCAUUUACAGACCAAUGCCCCAAGAAAAUUGGAGGUGGUAUUCAGUCCAUGUUUGGAGGACUGAAAGCCAAGGGCAGAAAAUGGUAUAAAACCAGUACAAGGUCAGGAAAAAAAGGAAAUGAGGUAUUUCAGCUAAAAAUAGAUAAACAAAAGGAAAAUCUCUUCUUCCCUGUCUUCUGUUUUAUUCUAGCUCCUCAAAUGUUUGGAUGAUACCCACUGGCAGCAUGGAGGGCAAAUUAUUACUUUACUUAGUUCACUUAUUCAGAUGCUAAUCUUGCUUAAAAACAUCCUCUCAGAC
Molecule: long non-coding RNA, 946 nt
Filed under: Marmota monax (woodchuck)
Lineage: Eukaryota; Metazoa; Chordata; Mammalia; Rodentia; Sciuridae
Source: RNAcentral